GGCUCCAUAGUGUAGUGGUUAGCAUGUCUGCUUUACACACAGAAAGUCCUCGGUUUGCACCCCAGGUGAAGCCA
Molecule: transfer RNA, 74 nt
Filed under: Pteropus alecto (black flying fox)
Lineage: Eukaryota; Metazoa; Chordata; Mammalia; Chiroptera; Pteropodidae
Rfam family: tRNA
About the family: Transfer RNA (tRNA) molecules are approximately 80 nucleotides in length. Their secondary structure includes four short double-helical elements and three loops (D, anti-codon, and T loops).
Source: Rfam by way of RNAcentral